GCAUAUGUAGGGAGCGGUGCGACAGCUGUAUGAUAAUGAGGUGAAUCUGGCGCCCUCCUAACAACAGUACUGAGCAUGCGUGGAGUUUUGCACCUGACGUCAGUCUGGCUGGGGCGGUACUAUGCUAAAUGGGAGUUCAUGCCUCGCCAAUCUCUGGAGGACAAGUAGCUGGGAUGCAGUGGGGUGACUCGUGCCCCACCAAUCCCUGAAAGAAGAUUAGCAUACUGUUGUGUAUAUAAGCCGAGCGGCUUUGCCGCUCGGCGCGGUAACACUUAAAGCGGUAACACUUAAAGCUGUAACACUUGGAGCUGUAACACUUAGGGCUGGCUGCCGCCGCCUCCCUGUAUCAACAAAGAAGGUCUCCUGCAGUAAAGGCUGUUGAGAAGAAUCCAACCGUGUUGCGUCUUCCUUGCCGGACGAGGUGGGCGCGACAAAGUGGUGGCCCGUACGGGGACGAGGACAUCCUCGUGGAUCUCAGAACUCUUCAGCUUCAGGAGGAGCGACGUCGGAAAAGUUCCCGAAUCAAGAAAAUCCAAUUUGGGUACCUGAGCGCUUGACUCGAAAAUUGCCUUCUGAAGAUGAGACUACGAACCCUACUAUUGCUACUGGGAAUGAUAAUACAGGUUAAUUCGAUCACCCUGUGGGCUAUUGCCAGAUCCUGGCCAGUACCCAUGCCAGUCCAUAGCAAUUCUACUGUUUUACCAACCUUUUUCUCUACCUCCUGUUUGCGUGAUGUUCCUUGUAUAGUGCCAACUGGAGAAAUGCCCCAACGGUAUGCCGCCACUAACGUUUCUCUGUUGCAUACCUUAUGUUUUACCAUUAAAGACUCUUCCCUGCCCUGUA
Molecule: long non-coding RNA, 843 nt
Organism: Rattus norvegicus (Norway rat)
Lineage: Eukaryota; Metazoa; Chordata; Mammalia; Rodentia; Muridae
Source: RefSeq, a predicted model, not a curated record